This 811-nucleotide ribosomal RNA is filed under the name uncultured bacterium. Its description in RNAcentral is "bacterial SSU rRNA". It matches the Rfam family "Bacterial small subunit ribosomal RNA", at positions 60 to 914 of the family's 1533-position model. The record is from RNAcentral.
AGUCGAACGAGACCUUUCGGGGUCUAGUGGCGCACGGGUGCGUAACGCGUGGGAAUCUGCCCUUGGGUUCGGAAUAACAGUUGGAAACGACUGCUAAUACCGGAUGAUGACGUUAAGUCCAAAGAUUUAUCGCCCAGGGAUGAGCCCGCGUAGGAUUAGCUAGUUGGUGAGGUAAAGGCUCACCAAGGCGACGAUCCUUAGCUGGUCUGAGAGGAUGAUCAGCCACACUGGGACUGAGACACGGCCCAGACUCCUACGGGAGGCAGCAGUGGGGAAUAUUGGACAAUGGGCGAAAGCCUGAUCCAGCAAUGCCGCGUGAGUGAUGAAGGCCUUAGGGUUGUAAAGCUCUUUUACCCGGGAUGAUAAUGACAGUACCGGGAGAAUAAGCUCCGGCUAACUCCGUGCCAGCAGCCGCGGUAAUACGGAGGGAGCUAGCGUUGUUCGGAAUUACUGGGCGUAAAGCGCACGUAGGCGGCUUUGUAAGUUAGAGGUGAAAGCCUGGAGCUCAACUCCAGAAUUGCCUUUAAGACUGCAUCGCUUGAAUCCAGGAGAGGUGAGUGGAAUUCCGAGUGUAGAGGUGAAAUUCGUAGAUAUUCGGAAGAACACCAGUGGCGAAGGCGGCUCACUGGACUGGUAUUGACGCUGAGGUGCGAAAGCGUGGGGAGCGAACAGGAUUAGAUACCCUGGUAGUCCACGCCGUAAACGAUGAUAACUAGCUGUCCGGGGACUUGGUCUUUGGGUGGCGCAGCUAACGCAUUAAGUUAUCCGCCUGGGGAGUACGGCCGCAAGGUUAAAACUCAAAUGAAUUGAC